Etheostoma spectabile (orangethroat darter) is the source of this 1364-nucleotide long non-coding RNA. RefSeq lists it as uncharacterized. The transcript has 2 exons. The record is from RefSeq and is a predicted model, not a curated record. NCBI's taxonomy places the organism in Eukaryota, Metazoa, Chordata, Actinopteri, Perciformes, Percidae.
AAUUCAUAAGAUAAUAAAGAAUAAACAAGUAAAUGAUGUUAUUUUACCUUUACAUAAUUGAAGGAAUAUUAAAUAAUGAUUAUUUCACCGAGUGUUAAUAGACAACCCGAAGAAAAUAUGACAGUGUUAUUGAUUUUUAAUGCACGUUUUAAAGCGCUUCAGGACCGGUAAAAGACACUAUUAUGGAAUUUGACUCGGCAACCUGCCAACCACCAGCAGGCAGUAGGAGCUUUUUGAUUGGUCGUUUCUCAGUAUGAAGAGCUGCAGCAGUGAAGGCUACAGCUUUGUCUGCUGGACCUCAACGAGAGGUUUAGAAGGAAAACACUGACUGUGUCUCAGCUGAGCCUCAAGCCACCCUGCGUGAGACUUUAACACAGAAUGGCAGACUGGGGGGCUCAGCGUUUGCCAAAAGAAAUCCAAGGUCUGAUGUGCAUAGAUCAGUUUGAGUUUCUCUUUAUUUCAUUCUCGGGGACACAAUGUCUCCACUAGCGUCAGGUGGCAGGACCCACUGCAGAUGUUCUUUUAAUGAGCAGUGAAAUGACAUUAAUUAUAAUUAGUGGACAGCUGAGCCAGAAGAGAACAACAAGCUGGAUAAGGGCUUCAGCGAGAGUCUCUCUGAAUCUCCAGCUCUGCUUCCCCACAACUGGAAUGAAAAGUGUUGGCUGCAGUGUCUUAUCAAGCAACAGUUGUUCUUCAGACAGCGGCUCUUUGUGGGCAGGAAGCAUCCUCGCCUCUGUGUGAUGCAAACUUUUGUAGACCAAACUUGACGUAUAACAAUUUUAUUCUCACACUUGCUGCAUGAAUAAUAUUUUGACGCUGCUGUUUUUACUUUAAGUCUAAGAAGCAACGGACUCAUCUUAAUAUUAAUGAAAAGUGCCAAGGGUUGAUGUUUUUAUAAAAACGUUGAGCCUAUUUUAUUGCAACACCAGAAAAAAAGAUUUAGAAAAAGAAACAUUUAUUUUGUAAUUUUGUACAUUUUUUUUUGAGUUAAUGUUAAUGUUGCUGUUUAGGUGUUACUUGUGAGACAUCCUCCUGACAAGGGGGUCACAAGUUGCCUGUGUUGCACAAAAUGUAAUGUAAUAGAAGCACGGAAGCCAAAGCAUGCAGAGGCUGUACCAGCACCACAUCAUUUUAUAUGUAUAACCUACUAACAGGAGGAAAAAUACACUCUAACCUAUUAAUUAGGCAUUAUUCAGUUUAUCUGUCACUGUAAUGGCCACUUAUGAGUUUUGAUCUCUAUUUGCAUGUUUGUGCCCCCCACCACUUGUACACACAGAAAAGUAUUUUAUUAAACUGACACAAAUAAUAACAGUGGGUUCUUUCACAUUUCAGUCAUAAAGAGUUCAAAUAAAACUUUUUACUUC